Non-coding RNA from Malus domestica (apple), 1155 nucleotides. NCBI's taxonomy places the organism in Eukaryota, Viridiplantae, Streptophyta, Magnoliopsida, Rosales, Rosaceae. The record is from RefSeq and is a predicted model, not a curated record.
GCUUGUGCCUUCUGCGUUACGGCACAGCCUUAAACCCACAAGGGCCACAUCAGAAUAACAAACCUUAAAGACCCUCUCUCUCUCUCUCUCUCUCUCUAGCAUCGUGGCUCUUCCGCAUCCUCUAAAAUCUCAAAGCAAAAUUCCAUGGGAGCUUCACUCUCAUAAACCCUGCACCAAAACCCACAAAAUCGACUUACCCAGAAGCGCUAAUCACAUGCAUUUUUCUAUGGAUUUGAGAAGGCUUUCAAUCCCAAAACCCCAUCUUUUCUCUUCUCCCCCAUCAACCGCCCGUGCGUGACCUGCACCGCACCGCCCAACACCGCCCCCAAGAACCUCCACGACCGCCGCCAUUGCAGCUUCCGGAUCAACCGGAGCCGACCGAUCAGAGUUUGCACAACUGGGGAAUUCGAUUGCAUUGAGCGCAUGCAACAAGCCUUUUCAACCCAUAGGUGACCCUGAUGGAACGAGUGAAGUCUCGUGAGGGUUUCCAGAGACGUUACCCACAAACAUCAAGUCAUAGUUAUGAUCAUGGAUGCCUAUAGGCUGUAAAGAGAUCCUCAUUUCCAGCGUCAGGAGCUGGCUUGACUGCGCAGAGGACUGCGUCCGAAUGACCUAUCUUGUAUGGCCUUAAAUAGAGGUUGCUCUUCACAUGGCGCAUUCGGAAGCUUGAAUUGCCUGGCUUAUGCUCGAAGGAUGUGGAAUCUUCAUCAUCCUUCUCAGCAGCGGCCACGAUCAACCAUGUUUCAUAAGUUUGAUUCCACACUCCUUUCAAGUAUAAUUUGUUUUCAGAGCACUUGAUUUUCACGUAUCCCGUUUGAAAACAUAUUUAGGAUCCUCUUCGGUGAAUUCGAGAAUCCCCCUUUGACCUCCGAUUUCUCCAUCUAAGUGCAAGUACUUGCUGUUGUGGUUAGAUUGCCACGCAAAAGGGUUUGGUAGUGGUGCUGCCAUGUUAAAUGGGGAUGAUCACGCUCACUUGUCUCUUUUUUUUUUCUCCCUUCCCUCUUCUCUCUUUCUCGUUUUCUCGUGUGAUUUACUUGCUCCAUAGCUUCGAACGUGCUACCCUAUUUAUAUUCAAGGAUAAGCCCACACCAUGUUUCUAUAUUCACAUUAUGUGUUCACACUGAUGGCUUCCUAUAAGGAUCGAGUUUUUAUUUU